This 334-nucleotide long non-coding RNA is filed under the name Solanum tuberosum (potato). RNAcentral describes it as "long non-coding RNA (STUB_LNC002756)". Lineage: Eukaryota; Viridiplantae; Streptophyta; Magnoliopsida; Solanales; Solanaceae. The record is from RNAcentral.
UUCUGUACAUUUUAUUUUAUUUUUCUUUUUAAUCUAUUUUAAUUUAAUUUGUUUUCGUAGCUUUUCCUUAUCCUAACAAGUUUAUUAUUAUUGUUUUUGUUAGCAUCCAAAAGAUCAAGACAACACACAUAUUAUAGCAUAAAACAUAACUUAAUAUAUUUCUAAACACGACCAAACAAAGAAUUCAUUCAAAUUAGAAAGAUAUGAACAUAAAAACUUUGAUAAUUAAUUAAGAAAAAAGAGCAAGGAAUGGACUCUUAAGCACGCAAGAAAUACUCACAUGUCAUAUAGCAUGUUCGGAUACAUUUCAGUACACAACAUUAAUAAUAUUAAC